This 253-nucleotide ribosomal RNA is filed under the name uncultured bacterium. RNAcentral describes it as "partial 16S ribosomal RNA". It matches the Rfam family "Bacterial small subunit ribosomal RNA", at positions 524 to 776 of the family's 1533-position model. The record is from RNAcentral.
UACGGAGGGUGCGAGCGUUGUCCGGAAUCACUGGGCGUAAAGGGCGCGUAGGCGGCCUGAUAAGUAGGGGGUGAAAUCCUGCGGCUUAACCGCAGGGCUGCCUUCUAAACUGUCAGGCUCGAGCACAGUAGAGGCAGGUGGAAUUCCCGGUGUAGCGGUGAAAUGCGUAGAUAUCAGGAGGAAUACCGGUGGCGAAGGCGGCCUUCUGGACGAUGACUGACGCUGAGACGCGAAAGCGUGGGGAGCAAACAGG